Molecule: ribosomal RNA, 253 nt
Filed under: uncultured bacterium
Lineage: Bacteria
Description: partial 16S ribosomal RNA
Rfam family: Bacterial small subunit ribosomal RNA
Source: RNAcentral
AACGUAGGUGGCGAGCGUUAUCCGGAAUCACUGGGCGUAAAGCGUCUGUAGGUGGUUUAAAAAGUCUAUUGUUAAAAAUUGAAGCUUAACUUCAAAGAUGCAAUGGAAACUUUUAAACUUGAGUAUGGUAGGGGUAGAGGGAAUUUCCAGUGGAGCGGUGAAAUGCGUAGAUAUUGGAAAGACCACCAAUGGCGAAGGCACUCUACUGGGCCAUUACUGACACUGAGAGACGAAAGCUAGGGGAGCAAAUGGG